RNAcentral lists this long non-coding RNA (1248 nucleotides) under Struthio camelus australis. Its description in RNAcentral is "lncRNA (ENSSCUG00000002745.1)". Lineage: Eukaryota; Metazoa; Chordata; Aves; Struthioniformes; Struthionidae. The record is from RNAcentral.
CAAACACAAGCUACAUGGUAAAUAAAUGCCACAAUUUAGUUAAGUUUACUUAGCGUAGCUGACAGUUGAAUAGGAAGCAUACAGCUACCUGCAGGUGUGUGUAUACCUGCAAAGGUAAUGAGCUUUUAUUUAGAGAAAUGCCCAUAAAAGCAUUUCAACCUUUACAAUUCAGCCAAUAAGUAUUCGCCUCGCUGCUGAGGUAAUUUGAGGGGAGGGGGAAAAAAAGCUUUCAAAUCCUUAGAGUAUAAAAUAGUGGAAGCUGAGUGCUCAAGAUAUUCCUGAACUUCUGCUUAAACACUUGCCAAUUUUCUUGCAUUUUUUUUUUCUUGGUUUUAAACUUUAAGGGAGAGGGGCCUUACCUAAUAAGCUUUAAAUGGCAGCAGUUCUUUGAUAAUUCUUAGGAGCUUUUCCAUCAAAUUUUCCAUUAUAUAAUUUGUAGUUGUUCAGCCAUAACGGCAAGUGAUACGGAUCUUUAUAAAACAGUUUCCUGUGAAUCAGGUUUGCAUUAUGAAAUAGUAGCUGGCUCUUUUUAAAUUCAGACAUGUUGUAUUUUUUUCUUCCUUAGAUGAACAUAGGACGUUAGUCUACCCCCAAAAAAUCUUUUUUCCUCACUUUCUUGACAGAGACACAAAAAUUGCAUCCAAACAAAUUGGUUCUUGCAAAUGAACUGCUAUUUACCUAUUGAACAGAUAAGCUUGAGUAGAAAAUACAGCUGCAGCCCCAGGACACCUAUGCACUCUUUGGUGAAGACCUUUCCAAGGAACGAUAGGAUAGUUAAUUCUCAGCAGCAUUGAUUCUUCAAACAGAUUCUUUCAAGUGAUGCUGGGAGAGUACAGACUAGUGUUGUAUCUGAGUAGGGUGGAAAAGAGAGGAUAACCUGAAAGAAAAAUGGAAAAUGCUCGAGACUGUAGCAAAGGAAGAAUGAAGACAGGAAGGAAGACAGGAAGAAUGAAAGGGUUCAAGAGUGCUCUUGAAGGAAAACUUAACAAGUUGCUCAAACACCUGCUUGCCAUGAGGCAAACACUGAGCUGAAUAUUUGCCCCAGGACAGGAGUCCUGGGAGAGAGCUUACCACAUCCUCCCAGCAGCGGAUAAAUCAUGUGACUAGAUGUCAUCAAUCUCUGGAGGAAUGCAAUAGUGAGUUGCUUAUUUUGACACUUCUUGUGCCAUCUGUGCCGUGGGUGAGUUACAAUGCAAGGCUCUGUAUUUGGAAUUUCAGCGAUUAACAAAAGUGAAUUUAGAAAAGCUU